Molecule: ribosomal RNA, 331 nt
Filed under: uncultured soil bacterium
Lineage: Bacteria
Description: bacterial SSU rRNA
Rfam family: Bacterial small subunit ribosomal RNA
Source: RNAcentral
AGAACGAACGCUGGCGGCAUGCCUAACACAUGCAAGUCGAACGAGACCUUCGGGUCUAGUGGCGCACGGGUGCGUAACGCGUGGGAAUCUGCCCUUGGGUUCGGGAUAACAGUUGGAAACGACUGCUAAUACCGGAUGAUGUCUUCGGACCAAAGAUUUAUCCGCCCAAGGAUGAGCCCGCGUAGGAUUAGCUUGUUGGUGAGGUAAGAGCUCACCAAGGCGACGAUCCUUAGCUGGUCUGAGAGGAUGAUCAGCCACACUGGGACUGAGACACGGCCCAGACUCCGUACGGGAGGCAGCAGUGGGAAUAGUUGGACAAGUGGGACGAAAG